RNAcentral lists this long non-coding RNA (550 nucleotides) under Lactuca sativa (garden lettuce). Its description in RNAcentral is "long non-coding RNA (LSAT_LNC007091)". The record is from RNAcentral. Lineage: Eukaryota; Viridiplantae; Streptophyta; Magnoliopsida; Asterales; Asteraceae.
AAUAUAUCGAUCUCCAUCCUCUACAAUGCAUCUUGAAUCCUGUCAAGAUAUCUUCUGUGACUGAUCCAUAUAUCCAUCCAAUCUGUUCAUAUUGCAAAAAGUUUUCAUCAUUUAAUUAGGUAAGUUGAUAAAAUGGUGAAAGUAGAACUGUUUUGAGUUAUUUACCUCUUUGCCCCAUGCGGUUUUCUCUUCAUAUCCACAACUAAUGACAUGAAUUGCUUCGUUGAUCAUGGUGGCUGGGUUUGCAGAUUCGGCUAAUCCUCCAUUUUCCAUUAAAGUGGAUUCUAUAAACACAGAUGACAUGCCAAAAGUUUUCUCAAAGCUCAUUUGAGAGAUGAGUAAUGACCUCUCAUAAUCAUCAUAACCUGCACAAACAUCCCAUUCACUCAGGUGUUGUUUCAAUCUGUAUAUGAGCUAUGUAUGAGUGUUCCUUUUUUACUGCAGAAAGAAAAUAAAUAUGUCUUACUUUCAAUCUCUUUAAGGUUAAAAAUGGCAGCAUUUAAAUCAUCUCUUCUAGAAUCACGUUGAAACUCUUCUAGAUCUUUCUUAG